GAAGGGGGCUAGCGUUGCUCGGAAUCACUGGGCGUAAAGGGUGCGUAGGCGGGGUUUUAAGUCAGGGGGGAAAUCCUGGAGCUCAACUCCAGAACUGCCUUUGAUACUGAAGAUCUUGAGUUCGGGAGAGGUGAGUGGAACUGCGAGUGUAGAGGUGAAAUUCGUAGAUAUUCGCAAGAACACCAGUGGCGAAGGCGGCUCACUGGCCCGAUACUGACGCUGAGGCACGAAAGCGUGGGGAGCAAACAGG
Molecule: ribosomal RNA, 250 nt
Filed under: uncultured bacterium
Lineage: Bacteria
Description: partial 16S ribosomal RNA
Rfam family: Bacterial small subunit ribosomal RNA
Source: RNAcentral